UAUAAAAACAAGUUAUAGUUUCAUUAAUUCUUACUAUCAGUAAGAGGUGGUUUUUAU
RNAcentral lists this transfer RNA (57 nucleotides) under Thor amboinensis. Its description in RNAcentral is "tRNA-Ile". Lineage: Eukaryota; Metazoa; Arthropoda; Malacostraca; Decapoda; Hippolytidae. The record is from RNAcentral.